GUGGCCUCACAAUGCGUUAGUUACCAUAGCACCCAGUGAGCGACGGGUUCCAGGCUGGCGCCCAGGGUCCUCGGCCUUCGGUGAUUCGCCUUGUCGUGGGAAAACAGGACACGGGGAGAUUAGUCUCCUCGCCUUAGACCCAAGGUUUCUUGCUCCAAGAAAGCCAGAUAGAGUAAAGCACUUUGAGCUCUUAGGAUGAAAAGGACUUUAGAACUGCAAAGCGCUGUUUGGAUUCUCCUGCAGACUUGUUAUGCCUCUGCUGCCAUAUGAUUCCACUUUGGACUGGGAUCUGUCCCAUCGUUUAUGGAUCCAGCAUUGUUCCACUUCUAGCCUCCAGUCCUCUCCAGACUUUGGGGUCUCCCGGGUGGGCCUCUUUCUGAAGUCACCUGAUGUGCCGAUCCAAGAUGGUUCCAGUCUCAGCCUUGACAUGCAGCCCUAAAUCUUUCAGACAUCUGUAAACAGCACUCUGAGCUUUCCACCAUCCUUUUAUUUUGUCUACAGUAAAGGGUGAGCACAGUGAA
Canis lupus familiaris (dog) is the source of this 521-nucleotide long non-coding RNA. RefSeq lists it as uncharacterized. The transcript is spliced from 2 exons. NCBI's taxonomy places the organism in Eukaryota, Metazoa, Chordata, Mammalia, Carnivora, Canidae. The record is from RefSeq and is a predicted model, not a curated record.